Molecule: ribosomal RNA, 462 nt
Filed under: Kocuria sp.
Lineage: Bacteria; Bacillati; Actinomycetota; Actinomycetes; Micrococcales; Micrococcaceae
Description: bacterial SSU rRNA
Rfam family: Bacterial small subunit ribosomal RNA
Source: RNAcentral
AUUCGGCUCAGGACGAACGCUGGCGGCGUGCUUAACACAUGCAAGUCGAACGCUGAAGCUUGGUGCUUGCACUGGGUGGAUGAGUGGCGAACGGGUGAGUAAUACGUGAGUAACCUGCCCUUGACUCUGGGAUAAGCCUGGGAAACUGGGUCUAAUACUGGAUACGACAUGUCACCGCAUGGUGGUGUGUGGAAAGGGUUUUACUGGUUUUGGAUGGGCUCACGGCCUAUCAGCUUGUUGGUGGGGUAAUGGCUCACCAAGGCGACGACGGGUAGCCGGCCUGAGAGGGUGACCGGCCACACUGGGACUGAGACACGGCCCAGACUCCUACGGGAGGCAGCAGUGGGGAAUAUUGCACAAUGGGCGAAAGCCUGAUGCAGCGACGCCGCGUGAGGGAUGACGGCUUCGGGUUGUAAACCUCUUUCAGCACGGAAGAAGCGAAAGUGACGGUACGUGCAGAAG